Phalaenopsis equestris is the source of this 373-nucleotide long non-coding RNA. RefSeq lists it as uncharacterized. Lineage: Eukaryota; Viridiplantae; Streptophyta; Magnoliopsida; Asparagales; Orchidaceae. The record is from RefSeq and is a predicted model, not a curated record. The transcript is spliced from 2 exons.
CUCGGUGUACCUGUAAUUCGGUUGGUUUCUUCCCCCAUAUAUUCCACCCUUGAGGGCAUCUUCAAACCGUCCACGUCGGGAUCUCCCCGUCUCCUCCUCUUGUUUCUCCUCCCCUUCUCCUUUCUAGCUUCGUUAAUUUGUCGCGGAUCUUGCGCGGAGCCGCUGACCUGCCUUCGAUUGGAGAUCGCCGCGCUGUCCUCUUUGGAAUCGUUCUUUUCCCGAGGAGGUUUUGAUAUAUUACUUUUUUAGAACGCACACAAGUUCUAAUUUACCUAGGUAAGGUCCUAAUGCCACCAUGACAUCAAAGCUACUUGUUAGUGGGUUAGAAAAAUAAGAAACCUCAUGAAGAAUAUCAAGUUGUGCCUACUUCUUC